AAGUCGUAACAAGGUAACCGUAGGUGAACCUGCGGUUGGAUCAUUAAUGAAUCAACAACUUUAUGGUAGGUGGUCUACCGGCUUUCGAGCUGUCGUAGUCAUCGACCUAAACCCCAAACCUGCGCCUGUCUUUUCCAAAUUGCUAAAACUUUUUGGGAGGGCAGAUGAAAACAUCGAGUAUCCUUUUUCUGGGCAACCAGAAGAAGAUACUUUUUAUAUAAACAUUUUAUUUCAUUCUUUUUCAAUAAUUAAACAUAUUAAUGAAAAAACAACUUUUGACAACGGAUCUCUUGGCUCUC
This 299-nucleotide unclassified non-coding RNA is filed under the name fungal sp. RNAcentral's name for it is "partial internal transcribed spacer region". The stretch from base 1 to 46 matches the Rfam family "Eukaryotic small subunit ribosomal RNA", at positions 1786 to 1831 of the family's 1831-position model. Lineage: Eukaryota; Fungi. The record is from RNAcentral.